GGGGAAUAUUGCGCAAUGGGCGAAAGCCUGACGCAGCAACGCCGCGUGAGUGAUGAAGGCCUUCGGGUUGUAAAGCUCUUUCGGCCGGGAAGAAGGGGUAUGGUUCUAAUAAAAUCAUGCUUUGAUGGUACCGGAAGAAGAAGCACCGGCUAACUUCGUGCCAGCAGCCGCGGUAAUACGAAGGGUGCGAGCGUUGUUCGGAAUUAUUGGGCGUAAAGGGUUCGUAGGCUGGAAAUUAAGUCAAUUGUGAAAUCCCCGAGCUUAACUUGGGACGUGCAUUUGAAACUGGUUUUCUUGAGUAUCGGAGAGGGUGGUGGAAUUGCUGGUGUAGGAGUGACAUCCGUAGAGAUCAGCAGGAACACCGGAGGCGAAGGCGACUGCCUGGCCGAGAACUGACGCUGAGGAACGAAAGCGUGGGGAGCAAAC
RNAcentral lists this ribosomal RNA (426 nucleotides) under uncultured bacterium. Its description in RNAcentral is "bacterial SSU rRNA". It matches the Rfam family "Bacterial small subunit ribosomal RNA", at positions 356 to 773 of the family's 1533-position model. The record is from RNAcentral.